This 253-nucleotide ribosomal RNA is filed under the name uncultured prokaryote. RNAcentral's name for it is "partial 16S ribosomal RNA". It matches the Rfam family "Bacterial small subunit ribosomal RNA", at positions 524 to 776 of the family's 1533-position model. The record is from RNAcentral.
GACGAACCGAGCGAACGUUGUUCGGAAUCACUGGGCUUAAAGGGCGCGUAGGCGGGCUGUCAAGUCUGGGGUGAAAUCCCGCGGCUCAACCGUGGAACUGCGUCAGAUACUGACGGUCUCGAGGGAGGUAGGGGCGAGCGGAACUGAUGGUGGAGCGGUGAAAUGCGUUGAUAUCAUCAGGAACUCCGGUGGCGAAGGCGGCUCGCUGGACCUCUUCUGACGCUGAGGCGCGAAAGCCAGGGGAGCAAACGGG